GGAGCACAAGGUAGCAUUUUCACAGAAAAGUAUAGCCUUCAGGAGUCUACCAAUGGUUAAACAAGUCAAUAGUGAGCGAAUGAAGCCAGUCUCGCUCCCAACAGGGGUCUGUAAGCUGAAAACCCCAUAUGUAAGUUUUGGCCGCGCGGUCCGCUCUCAGGUGUCGUGACGAAUCGAGAUUGCUUUACGUCACUUAGCCAGGCCCCUCUCUGCCAGGCUAGUUAUUAGCUAGUUUCGUAGCCUGCUAGCUGCUACUACCGGCAGUCACUCGCGUCUGGGGAGCGGUGAAGAGUGUUUGGGUCAUGGCCGAGCCACCAAGGAAGACACCGAGAACAGAGGAGCAAAGACAGAGGAAGAGGGUACGAGGCAAAGAAAGGGGUCGCACCCGUGUGAACAUUGGGAAGGCAUUUUCUGAAUGGAGAGAGUUGAUGGCUAAAGAGGGACACAGAUCCGACGCAGAACUGGCAGCCAUGCUCUUGAACUUGUUGGAGCAAACCACAAAGAUGUUGUUCCAUGGAUCAAGGACAUUGUGAACCACUUUUGGUAUUGCAGCAGGCACGCCAACACCGUGGAUGUGUUCUUGACAAUGUGGCGUGGUGUUGUAUGCCAUGUGGUGAACAAGCACUCCUGGCUUGGAGGAAGAUGUGAUCAUCUCCCACUGGAUGAAGGCAGCCAGAAUAAGCCCUGGCUCAGAAAAGGUGGAGCUGAUCACGAGGCACUCAUCCAAGUUGUGCUGGACAAAAGAUGGCUGGACCAGGUGAAGAAGUUCCUAAACUUCCGGACCACCUCUGACUUGGAGAACUUCCAAAACCACAUACUGAUGUAUGCUUCCAAGUGCAUGUCGUACACGCCUUUUGUCUACAAGACCCGGAC
Long non-coding RNA from Engraulis encrasicolus (European anchovy), 873 nucleotides. RefSeq lists it as uncharacterized. The record is from RefSeq and is a predicted model, not a curated record. Lineage: Eukaryota; Metazoa; Chordata; Actinopteri; Clupeiformes; Engraulidae. The transcript has 5 exons.